AUACGUAGGGGGCGAGCGUUAUCCGGAAUUAUUGGGCGUAAAGAGUACGUAGGCGGGAGAUUAAGCGCAGGGUUUAAGGCAAUGGCUUAACCACUGUAUGCCCUGUGAACUGAUCUUCUUGAGUGCAGGAGGGGAAAGCGGAAUUCCUAGUGUAGCGGUGAAAUGCGUAGAUAUUAGGAGGAACACCAGUGGCGAAGGCGGCUUUCUGGACUGUAACUGACGCUGAGGUACGAAAGUGUGGGGAGCGAACAGGAUUAGAUACCCUGGUAGUCCACACCGUAAACGAUGAGCACUAGGUGUCGGGCAUGUAAGUGUUCGGUGCCGCAGUUAACACAAUAAGUAUCCCACCUGGGGAGUACGAUCGCAAGGUUGAAACUCAAAUGAAUUGACGGGG
RNAcentral lists this ribosomal RNA (394 nucleotides) under uncultured bacterium. Its description in RNAcentral is "partial 16S ribosomal RNA". It matches the Rfam family "Bacterial small subunit ribosomal RNA", at positions 523 to 918 of the family's 1533-position model. The record is from RNAcentral.